This is a long non-coding RNA of Bombina bombina (fire-bellied toad), 500 nucleotides long. RefSeq lists it as uncharacterized. NCBI's taxonomy places the organism in Eukaryota, Metazoa, Chordata, Amphibia, Anura, Bombinatoridae. The record is from RefSeq and is a predicted model, not a curated record. The transcript has 2 exons.
AGGUGAUCACAAUGGAACAAGACAGAUAUUCAGCUCUGAUCAUGCAAAAGAUCCUUUACUGAAUCCUAAUGUUCUAAAAAAUAAGGACCGUCAGCAAGCAAUUUUGAAAGGAUUGUCAGAACUGAGGAAGGGUUUGCUUCAGAAACAGAAAGAGUUGGAAACCGGUUUGAUACCAGAUAUUUAAAUCUAGAUGGCACCUACGUUGGGAACUCUCCUUUUUUUUGCACCAAGCUCCCUACAGUGCAUAUAGGAGUGUGUAUCUAUGUGUAUAUAUGUAUAUUUAUUAGAAGAUAUUCAUGUAUUCUGAUGUUUGUAUUAUGAAUGUAAAUAUCAUACUAGAUUGUAAGCACUAGAACAGUGUUGUGUGAUCUUCAUGUAUUUGCUGCUGUGGAAUGUGUUUACAGUAUUUAUAUUGAACUUCUCAUAUGAGUGUGAUGUGCAACUUUUUAUAGAAUGUCUGUUAAUUCUUUUUUGAUAAAUAAAUAUUUUUUUUAAAUUAA